UAAUUGAUUAUGACGUACUUGUACUGAUUGAGAUUUUAACACGAAGUGAGUGGCGAACGGGUGAGUAACACGUGGGUAACCUGCCCAGAAGUAGGGGAUAACACCUGGAAACAGAUGCUAAUACCGUAUAACAGAGAAAACCGCAUGGUUUUCUUUUAAAAGAUGGCUCUGCUAUCACUUCUGGAUGGACCCGCGGCGUAUUAGCUAGUUGGUGAGGUAAAGGCUCACCAAGGCAGUGAUACGUAGCCGACCUGAGAGGGUAAUCGGCCACAUUGGGACUGAGACACGGCCCAGACUCCUACGGGAGGCAGCAGUAGGGAAUCUUCCACAAUGGACGCAAGUCUGAUGGAGCAACGCCGCGUGAGUGAAGAAGGGUUUCGGCUCGUAAAGCUCUGUUGUUAAAGAAGAACGUGGGUAAGAGUAACUGUUUACCCAGUGACGGUAUUUAACCAGAAAGCCACGGCUAACUACGUGCCAGCAGCCGCGGUAAUACGUAGGUGGCAAGCGUUAUCCGGAUUUAUUGGGCGUAAAGCGAGCGCAGGCGGUCUUUUAAGUCUAAUGUGAAAGCCUUCGGCUCAACCGAAGAAGUGCAUUGGAAACUGGGAGACUUGAGUGCAGAAGAGGACAGUGGAACUCCAUGUGGUA
This 645-nucleotide ribosomal RNA is filed under the name Pediococcus pentosaceus. RNAcentral describes it as "bacterial SSU rRNA". It matches the Rfam family "Bacterial small subunit ribosomal RNA", at positions 64 to 678 of the family's 1533-position model. Lineage: Bacteria; Bacillati; Bacillota; Bacilli; Lactobacillales; Lactobacillaceae. The record is from RNAcentral.